This 468-nucleotide ribosomal RNA is filed under the name uncultured bacterium. RNAcentral describes it as "partial 16S ribosomal RNA". It matches the Rfam family "Bacterial small subunit ribosomal RNA", at positions 28 to 507 of the family's 1533-position model. The record is from RNAcentral.
GACGAACGCUGGCGGCGUGCUUAACACAUGCAAGUCGAACGGGAAGGCCCUGCUUUUGUGGGGUGCUCGAGUGGCGAACGGGUGGGUAACACGUGAGUAACCUGCCCUUGACUUUGGGAUAACUUCAGGAAACUGGGGCUAAUACUGGAUAGGAGCUCCUGCUGCAUGGUGGGGGUUGGAAAGUUUCGGCGGUUGGGGAUGGACUCGCGGCUUAUCAGCUUGUUGGUGGGGUAGUGGCUUACCAAGGCUUUGACGGGUAGCCGGCCUGAGAGGGUGACCGGCCACAUUGGGACUGAGAUACGGCCCAGACUCCUACGGGAGGCAGCAGUGGGGAAUAUUGCACAAUGGGCGGAAGCCUGAUGCAGCAACGCCGCGUGCGGGAUGACGGCCUUCGGGUUGUAAACCGCUUUCGCCUGUGACGAAGCGUGAGUGACGGUAAUGGGUAAAGAAGCACCGGCUAACUACGUG